Long non-coding RNA from Pogoniulus pusillus (Red-fronted tinkerbird), 1524 nucleotides. RefSeq lists it as uncharacterized. NCBI's taxonomy places the organism in Eukaryota, Metazoa, Chordata, Aves, Piciformes, Lybiidae. The record is from RefSeq and is a predicted model, not a curated record. The transcript has 2 exons.
UAAGCAGCCUCAGGAAAGGCAGAAGCCCCAAGCUUGCCCAACUGGGCAGAGGGAUCCUCCUCCUGGCAUCACAGGCCAAACUGAGUCAUUUCUGCUGCUGUUCCAGCUCCUGCCAUGAUCAGAGCCUGUUCCUGCUGACCUCGCUCCUUAGCCUCACUGCUCCUUCAAAGUUUCCUCUCUUAUAGUCAAACUCAUACAAGCAAUUUAGUUGUGCUCCUGUGCUGCUUUCACAGAGUGUUUUGGGUUGGAAAAGACCUUAAAGAUCAUCCAGUUCUAACCCCCUGCCACGGGCAUGGACACCUCCUGCUGCCUCAGAUUGCUCAGGGUCUCAUCCAACCUGGAUUUGAAUACUGCCAAGCUUGGAGCCUCCACAACUAAUCUGAGCAGCCCAUUCCAGUGCUUCACCACCCUCAUGGAGAAGAAUUUCUUCCUAAUGUCUCAUCUCAAUCCAGCUUCUUCCAGCUGGAGGCCAUCACUCCUCAUCCUGUCCCUCCCCAGCUCUCUUGGAGCCCCCUUCAAAUACUAGAAGGCUGCCCUAAGAUUUCCUCUUGCAGCAUUGGUGUUCACCAUGGAGCUGUGGUGCUGAAGGACAGAGGAGCAGCACCAUGGCACUUGCCCUGCUGAGCUGUGGUGCUGAAGGGCAGAGGAGCAGCACCAUGGCACUUCCCCUGGUGAAGGAUGGGAGAGCAGCACCAUGGCGCUCUGCUGCUGGUACCUCAUCUGCCUGCAUCCCAUCUGCCCACACACUGCCUGCAUCCUAUCUGCCUGCAUCCCAUCUGCCCACACUCUGCCUGCACCCCAUCUGCUGCACCCCAUCUGCCCACCCUCUGCCUGCACCCCAUCUGCCCACCCUCUGCCUGCACCCCAUCUGCUGCACCUCAUCUGCUUCACCUUAUUCGCCCACACUCUGCCUGCACUCCAUCAGCCUACGUCCUGCCUGCACCCUGCACCAGCUCUUCCUGCACCCUGCCUGCCUGUCUCCUCCCAGCCCAUUGCGGUGCUCACUGUUAUGCAAAUCGACACUCCUGUUAUCUAAAAUUGUUAUCUCCCCUUCUCCGCGGUCCCGGGACCUCAUUUGCUGCUGACAAUGCUCCAAAGAAAAGCCAAACGCAGCCUUUUGUGGAGAUUAGAGAAGUGGCGACCAGGGCUGUGUUCUGUUCUGCAGCAGCUGGGGUGGGAGAGGAGGUGGCAUCAGCCUCUGAACUCAGGUAGCUUCUUGUUCUCCUGCCCUUGUGUCAAACUCCGCAAUGGAACACUGGAAGGCAGUUUUGCUAAGCUGAUGUGGCCACCUCAGAGACAAUCACAGAGUUGUUUGGGUUGGAAAAGCCUUCUGAGAUCAUCACAUCCAACCAUCAACCUACCCCCACCGUGGCCAUCAAACCAUGUCCCCAAGUGCCGUGGCCAUAGGCUGCUUGAACACCUCCCAGCAUGGGGACUCCACUGCCUCCCUGAGCAGCCUCUUCCAGUCUCUGACUGCUCUUUCAGUUCCCUCACCUCCGACCUAACCCUCCCCUUGGCUUCCUU